This 1218-nucleotide ribosomal RNA is filed under the name Triticum aestivum (bread wheat). Its description in RNAcentral is "partial small subunit ribosomal RNA". The record is from RNAcentral. Lineage: Eukaryota; Viridiplantae; Streptophyta; Magnoliopsida; Poales; Poaceae.
AUGUCUAUUGGCAGCUGUGGAUCCUGUGGAUAUGCUCUAAAUCUUUCAUCUUCUAACAGAAGCACAUCUGACGUAGGAUCCUCGUACCAAAAAUCUCUGAAGAAGGGUCUGAUUUCAUUCACUUCUAUUGAUCUCAGCCGUUUUACUCAGGUUGACGAGAUAUCUUGUUUUCCUUUCCUUACCUGGCGUAGCUACCGGCCGAAAACUAAGCUUCUGUGCCGAAAAUGUGGAUCAUCUAUUGGCUAUGGAUACGCAUACAAGGAGCAUGCCCAGUGCCUUCCAAAGAUGUUGGCUCGUUCUCCAUAUCUUCAGUUGAUAUCCCUUGCGGGGCUUAAUGAGCUAUCUGAUUCAGCUCUGUACGAAGUGGGAGUUUCUGGAACAUCUUUGCAGUCCUUCUCAUUGUACUCCUGUUCUGGUAUAACAGAUGAUGGUCUAGCACAAGUGUCAAUCGGAUGUCCUAAUUUGGUUAUAGUGGAACUUUACCGCUGCUUAAAUAUCACAGAUCUUGGUUUGGAAAGUCUUUCCCAGGGCUGUCAUUCUUUGAAGAGUCUUAACCUUGGUUACUGCACAGCCAUUUCAGAUCGAGGGAUUAGUUCAAUCUUUAGGAAUUGCCGAAACAUUUGUGCACUCAUCAUAUCAUAUUGCAGAGGUGUAUCCGGUGUUGGAUUUAGAGGUUGCCCAAGUACACUUUCUUACCUAGAAGCCGAGUCCUGCAUGCUUUCUUCAGAGGGAAUGCUAGACAUAUCGAGUGGUGGUGGACUCCAGUACAUAAAUUUGUAUAAUCUAAGGAGUUCAGCUGGGCUGGAUUGCCUAGGUGGAGUUGGCAGUAUGAAGAAACUCCGAGUUCUGAAUCUGAGGAUGUGCCGCUAUCUUACUGAUGAUUCUGUGGUGGCAAUAGCUAGUGGGUGUCCGUUGAUCGAGGAGUGGAGCCUUGCUGUCUGUCAUGGCGUCCGCUUACCUGGUUGGUCGGCGAUUGGAUUGAACUGCAACAAGCUAAGAAUUCUUCAUGUGAACCGUUGCCGAAACAUAUGUGACCAAGGAUUGCAUGCUCUCAAGGAUGGAUGUGUGCGCCUUGAGGUCCUGCAUAUACAUGGUUGUGGCAAGAUUACAAAUAAUGGCCUGGCACUAUUUAGCAUUGCUAGGCCCAGUGUGAAGCAAAUGGUGGACGAAGCCAUGUCCAUUGGCCCCUCAAUCGAGGAUUUAUUCCGGUUGCAGUGA